CAUUAAGAAGCUAUGAACCAGCACUAGCCUUUUAAGCUAGAGAAAGAGGAAGUUCCCCUCCUUAAUGA
This 68-nucleotide transfer RNA is filed under the name Lophophorus impejanus (Himalayan monal). RNAcentral describes it as "tRNA-Lys". The record is from RNAcentral. Lineage: Eukaryota; Metazoa; Chordata; Aves; Galliformes; Phasianidae.